UACGUAGGGCGCAAGCGUUGUCCGGAAUUAUUGGGCGUAAAGGGCGCGUAGGCGGCUUUGCAAGUGGCGGGUGAAAUCCCUCGGCUUAACCGAGGAACUGCCUGCCAGACUGUGAGGCUUGAGACCGGGAGAGGUGAGUGGAAUUCCCAGUGUAGCGGUGAAAUGCGUAGAUAUUGGGAGGAACACCAGUGGCGAAGGCGGCUCACUGGACCGGAACUGACGCUGAUGCGCGAAAGCGUGGGGAGCAAACAGG
RNAcentral lists this ribosomal RNA (253 nucleotides) under uncultured bacterium. Its description in RNAcentral is "partial 16S ribosomal RNA". It matches the Rfam family "Bacterial small subunit ribosomal RNA", at positions 524 to 776 of the family's 1533-position model. The record is from RNAcentral.